AGAGUUUGAUUAUGGCUCAGGAUGAACGCUGGCGGCGUGCCUAACACAUGCAAGUCGAACGGAUCCAUGCUGAAACCUAGUGAUGCAUGGAUUAGUGGCGGACGGGUGAGUAACGCGUGGAUAACCUGCCGUAUACUGGGGGAUAACACUUAGAAAUAGGUGCUAAUACCGCAUAAGCGCACAGUCUCGCAUGAGACGGUGUGAAAAACUCCGGUGGUAUACGAUGGAUCCGCGUCUGAUUAGCUUGUUGGCGGGGUAACAGCCCACCAAGGCGACGAUCAGUAGCCGGCCUGAGAGGGUGAACGGCCACAUUGGGACUGAGACACGGCCCAAACUCCUACGGGAGGCAGCAGUGGGGAAUAUUGCACAAUGGGGGAAACCCUGAUGCAGCGACGCCGCGUGAGUGAAGAAGUGCCCCGGCACGUAAAGCUCUAUCAGCAGGGAAGAAAAUGACGGUACCUGACCAAGAAGCCCCGGCUAACUACGUGCCAGCAGCCGCGGUAAUACGUAGGGGGCAAGCGUUAUCCGGAUUUACUGGGUGUAAAGGGAGCGUAGACGGCGGCGCAAGUCUGGAGUGAAAUCCCGGGGCUCAACCCCGGAACUGCUUUGGAAACUGCGCGGCUCGAGUGCAGGAGGGGCAGGCGGAAUUCCUAAUGUAGCGGUGA
This 665-nucleotide ribosomal RNA is filed under the name uncultured bacterium. RNAcentral describes it as "bacterial SSU rRNA". It matches the Rfam family "Bacterial small subunit ribosomal RNA", at positions 8 to 684 of the family's 1533-position model. The record is from RNAcentral.